UCCUUCCGUGAACGACAAAAGUACUUCGAGC
Molecule: non-coding RNA, 31 nt
Filed under: Mus musculus (house mouse)
Lineage: Eukaryota; Metazoa; Chordata; Mammalia; Rodentia; Muridae
Source: RNAcentral